This 72-nucleotide transfer RNA is filed under the name Alosa alosa (allis shad). RNAcentral's name for it is "tRNA-Trp". It matches the Rfam family "tRNA". From Rfam's summary of the family: Transfer RNA (tRNA) molecules are approximately 80 nucleotides in length. Their secondary structure includes four short double-helical elements and three loops (D, anti-codon, and T loops). The record is from RNAcentral. Lineage: Eukaryota; Metazoa; Chordata; Actinopteri; Clupeiformes; Clupeidae.
GCGGGUAUAGCUCAGUGGUAGAGCAUUUUACUCCAGAUCAAGAGGUACCAGGUUCAAAUCCUUGUGCCCCCU